AAAGUGUGUGUCGUGAGCUUUUGAUGCGGCCUAUAAGAGGCAUGUAUUGAGGGUCUGAUGAACUUUGUAGGGCUCUGUAGCCGUUUAUGGUGUCACUGGAUUUUCGCCCCAUGGCGGACUGCUCGAUGAUGGGUGUCCAUCGUGGGUUUCCCAGUGAUGCUUUGAACCCGUUUUUCCCCCUUUCUAGGCUUCCUGAUUACUAUGUGAGACUGGUUGUAUUUCCGUUAUGAUGAGUAAUGGAAAGGGGUUAUCGCCCGGUUCAAAAAAAAAAUUAAAGUGUGUGCCGCAGGCUUGUAGAUAUUUUUCUCAAAAAGGAAUGAAUGGUCUUAUGAAACACAAUGCUUCUUCAAAUCUUCUGGUUAUGAGAUGGUUAUCAAGCGAGCGGUCAUUGAAGUCGCGCUCAUGUAGCUUAUUAUCAGUCCCCGAAGACAAACCACCUACUUACUUUGUGUUUUCAAGAUUUAUUUGUUUGGCAAUGAUGUACUUGUAUAUCUUAACACUUGGUCGUGUGUCAAUCCUCUACUAUAAGUCAACCAUGAGUGUCGUAGAGGAUGAGUAGUUUGCCACAAUGUACUUGAACUUGGAUGUGUCAGAACUUGUAUUCCAUUCAGCUUUUACCUUA
Triticum dicoccoides is the source of this 622-nucleotide long non-coding RNA. RefSeq lists it as uncharacterized. The record is from RefSeq and is a predicted model, not a curated record. NCBI's taxonomy places the organism in Eukaryota, Viridiplantae, Streptophyta, Magnoliopsida, Poales, Poaceae. The transcript is spliced from 2 exons.